This 30-nucleotide non-coding RNA is filed under the name Rattus norvegicus (Norway rat). Lineage: Eukaryota; Metazoa; Chordata; Mammalia; Rodentia; Muridae. The record is from RNAcentral.
GGUACAGCUGAUGCAGAUGGGGACUGGCCA